AGUGAACGCUGGCGGUAGGCCUAACACAUGCAAGUCGAACGGCAGCACAGUAAGAGCUUGCUCUUACGGGUGGCGAGUGGCGGACGGGUGAGGAAUACAUCGGAAUCUACUUUUUCGUGGGGGAUAACGUAGGGAAACUUACGCUAAUACCGCAUACGACCUACGGGUGAAAGCAGGGGAUCUUCGGACCUUGCGCGAUUGAAUGAGCCGAUGUCGGAUUAGCUAGUUGGCGGGGUAAAGGCCCACCAAGGCGACGAUCCGUAGCUGGUCUGAGAGGAUGAUCAGCCACGCUGGAACUGAGACACGGUCCAGACUCCUACGGGAGGCAGCAGUGGGGAAUAUUGGACAAUGGGCGCAAGCCUGAUCCAGCCAUACCGCGUGGGUGAAGAAGGCCUUCGGGUUGUAAAGCCCUUUUGUUGGGAAAGAAAAGCAGCAGGUUAAUACCCCGCUGUUCUGACGGUACCCAAGGAAUAAGCACCGGCUAACUUCGUG
This 492-nucleotide ribosomal RNA is filed under the name uncultured bacterium. RNAcentral's name for it is "partial 16S ribosomal RNA". It matches the Rfam family "Bacterial small subunit ribosomal RNA", at positions 29 to 507 of the family's 1533-position model. The record is from RNAcentral.